UUAAACGCAAUGAACGGGAGCAGUAAAAGUGAUGAAGUAGAGGCAGAGAGCUGCGGGUUGGUGGAACGCAGACUAUGAAUCCUUUGAACUCGCCCGGGAGCAGCAGGACAGAAAGAAUCUAUUCUUAUGUUUUGACGACUAACCUUCGUUAUCAGGUUUUCAAGCAGGAUUCUGUUUUUUUAGAAUCAACAAGAGUGGUACCGCGGUCAGCCCAAGGCUUAUCGUCUCUUUU
This 232-nucleotide non-coding RNA is filed under the name Fictibacillus enclensis. RNAcentral's name for it is "T-box sequence". It matches the Rfam family "T-box leader". From Rfam's summary of the family: Uncharged tRNA acts as the effector for transcription antitermination of genes in the T-box leader family. The record is from RNAcentral. Lineage: Bacteria; Bacillati; Bacillota; Bacilli; Caryophanales; Fictibacillaceae.